AGCGAACGCUGGCGGCAGGCCUAACACAUGCAAGUCGAGCGCCCAGCAAUGGGAGCGGCAGACGGGAUAGUAACACGUGGGAACGUACCUUUCAGUUCGGAACAACCCAGGGAAACUUGGGCUAAUACCGAAUACGUCCGUAAGGAGAAAGAUUUAUCGCUGAAAGAUCGGCCCGCGUCUGAUUAGCUAGUUGGUGAGGUAAUGGCUCACCAAGGCGACGAUCAGUAGCNGGUCUGAGAGGAUGAUCAGCAUCACUGGGACUGAGACACGGCCCAGACUCCUACGGGAGGCAGCAGUGGGGAAUAUUGGACAAUGGGCGCAAGCCUGAUCCAGCCAUGCCGCGUGGAUGAUGAAGGCCUUAGGGUUGUAAAGUCCUUUCGGCGGGGAAGAUAAUGACGGUACCCGCAGAAGAAGCCCCGGCUAACUUCGUGCCAGCCGCCGCCGU
This 445-nucleotide ribosomal RNA is filed under the name uncultured bacterium. Its description in RNAcentral is "bacterial SSU rRNA". It matches the Rfam family "Bacterial small subunit ribosomal RNA", at positions 29 to 521 of the family's 1533-position model. The record is from RNAcentral.